This 791-nucleotide ribosomal RNA is filed under the name uncultured archaeon. Its description in RNAcentral is "bacterial SSU rRNA". It matches the Rfam family "Archaeal small subunit ribosomal RNA", at positions 90 to 859 of the family's 1478-position model. The record is from RNAcentral.
UCAGUAGCACGUAGUUAAUCUGCCCUUGGGACGGGGAUAACCCUGGGAAACUGGGGCUAAUACCUGAUAGGUGCGGAGGCCUGGAAUGGUUCUGCACUGAAAGGGCUUCGAGAACAUGCUCUUGGGGUUGCCCAAGGAUGAGACUGCGGCCGAUCAGGUUGUUGGUGGGGUAACGGCCCACCAAGCCUAUAACCGGUACGGGCUCUGAGAGGAGGGGCCCGGAGAUGGGAACUGAGACAAGGUCCCGGUCCUACGGGGCGCAGCAGGUGCGAAAACUCCACAAUGCGCGAAUGCGUGAUGGGGUUAACCCGAGUGCCGUCCGAUGAGGAUGGCUUUUCCUCAGUUUAAGGAGCUGGGGGAAUAAGGGGGAGGGAAAGCCUUGGUGUCAGCCCCCCGCGGUAAUACCAGCUCCCCGAGUGGUGGGGGUAAUUAUUGGGCCUAAAGCGUCCGUAGCUGGCUUAGCAAGUCUUUUGUUAAAUCCAACGAUCCAAUCGUUGGAACUGCAGGAAAAUACUGCUGGGCUAGGGGGCGGAAGAAGCCGACGGUACUCCUGAGGUAGGGGUGAAAUCCUAUAAUCCCAGGAGGACAACCAGUGGCGAAGGCGGUCGGCUAGAACGCGCUCGACGGUGAGGGACGAAAGCUGGGGAGCGAUCCGGAUUAGAUACCCGGGUAGUCCCAGCUGUAAACUAUGCAGGCUAGGUGUUGGCGUGACCACGAGUCGCGCCAGUGCCCGCAGGGAAAGCUGUUAAGCCUGCCGCCUGGGGAGUACGGUCCGCAAGACUGAAACUUUA